GCGAACGGGUGAGUAAUAUAUCGGAACAUACCCAGUAGUGGGGGAUAACUAUCCGAAAGGAUAGCUAAUACCGCAUACGAUCUGUGGAUGAAAGCAGGGGAUCUUCGGACCUUGUGCUAUUGGAAUGGCCGAUAUCUGAUUAGCUAGUUGGUAGGGUAAAAGCCUACCAAGGCGACGAUCAGUAGCUGGUCUGAGAGGACGACCAGCCACACUGGAACUGAGACACGGUCCAGACUCCUACGGGAGGCAGCGGUGGGGAAUGUUGGACAAUGGGGGCAACCCUGAUCCAGCAAUGCCGCGUGAGUGAAGAAGGCCCUCGGGUUGUAAAGCUCUUUUGUCAGGGAAGAAACGGAGUUCUCUAAUAUAGGAUUCUAAUGACGGUACCUGAAGAAUAAGCACCGGCUAACUACGUGCCAGCAGCCGCGGUAAUACGUAGGGUGCAAGCGUUAAUCGGAAUUACUGGGCGUAAAGCGUGCGCAGGCGGUUUUGUAAGUCUGAUGUGAAAUCCCCGGGCUCAACCUGGGAACUGCAUUGGAGACUGCAAGGCUAGAGUGUGUCAGAGGGGGGUAGAAUUCCACGUGUAGCAGUGAAAUGCGUAGAGAUGUGGAGGAAUACCGAUGGCGAAGGCAGCCCCCUGGGAUAACACUGACGCUCAUGCACGAGCGUGGGGAGCAA
Molecule: ribosomal RNA, 675 nt
Filed under: uncultured beta proteobacterium
Lineage: Bacteria; Pseudomonadati; Pseudomonadota; Betaproteobacteria
Description: bacterial SSU rRNA
Rfam family: Bacterial small subunit ribosomal RNA
Source: RNAcentral